Gracilinanus agilis (Agile Gracile Mouse Opossum) is the source of this 102-nucleotide small nuclear RNA. NCBI's taxonomy places the organism in Eukaryota, Metazoa, Chordata, Mammalia, Didelphimorphia, Didelphidae. The record is from RefSeq and is a predicted model, not a curated record.
AGCUGCCCCCCGUUCCAUAUUUUUAUUGGAAUGAUACAGAGAAGAUUAGCAUGGCCCCUGCGCAAGGAUGACACACAAAUUAGUGAAGAAUUAGAGAAAAUU